This 266-nucleotide ribosomal RNA is filed under the name uncultured prokaryote. RNAcentral describes it as "partial 16S ribosomal RNA". It matches the Rfam family "Bacterial small subunit ribosomal RNA", at positions 524 to 788 of the family's 1533-position model. The record is from RNAcentral.
UACGUAGGUGGCAAGCGUUAUCCGGAAUUAUUGGGCGUAAAGAGCGCGCAGGUGGUUGAUUAAGUCUGAUGUGAAAGCCCACGGCUUAACCGUGGAGGGUCAUUGGAAACUGGUCGACUUGAGUGCAGAAGAGGGAAGUGGAAUUCCAUGUGUAGCGGUGAAAUGCGUAGAGAUAUGGAGGAACACCAGUGGCGAAGGCGGCUUCCUGGUCUGUAACUGACACUGAGGCACGAAAGCGUGGGGAGCAAACAGGAUUAGAUACCCCU